GGUCAAGCUAGGAAGGGCAUACGGUGGAUGCCUAGGCGCGAAGGGCCGAAGAAGGACGUGGUAAGCUGCGAAAAGCCACGGGGAGCCGCAAACAGGCUUCGAUCCGUGGAUAUCCGAAUGGGGCAACCCGGCGGGGGCGAACCCCCGUCACCGAUUACUGAAUCCAUAGGUAACCGGAGGGCACCCGGCGAACUGAAACAUCUUAGUAGCCGGAGGAAGAGAAAGAAAAAUCGAACCCCCCAGUAGCGGCGAGCGAAAAGGGGCGAGCCUAAACCGGCAGUGCGUGCACAGCCGGGGUUGCGGGACUCUCAUCAGUAAGGUAAGUAGCUUUAGCCGAAGCGGUUUGGAAAGACCCGUCACAGAAGGUAACAACCCUGUAGGCGAAAAGGCGAACAUCUUCGAGAGUAUCCCAAGUACCACGGGACACGAGGAACCCCGUGGGAAUCCGGGAGGACCACCUUCCAAGGCUAAAUACCCGACGCGACCGAUAGUGAACAAGUACCGUGAGGGAAAGGUGAAAAGCACCCCGGGAGGGGAAUGAAAUAGAACCUGAAACCGUAUGCUUACAAACAGUCAAAGCACGAUUAAAGUGUGAUGGCGUACUUUUUGUAGAACGGACCGGCGAGUUACUUCUGACGGGCAAGGUUAAGCCACAAAAGGCGGAGCCGCAGCGAAAGCGAGUCUUAAUAGGGCGAAAAUAGUCCGUUGGAGUAGACCCGAAACCGGGUGAUCUACCCAUGUCCAGAGUGAAGCUUUAGUAAAAUAAAGUGGAGGCUCGAACCGACCGUCGUUGAAAAGGCGGCGGAUGAGGUGUGGGUAGGGGUGAAAUGCCAAUCGAACCCGGAAAUAGCUGGUUCUCCCCGAAAUAGCUUUAGGGCUAGCCUUGGGAAUAAAUACCGGAGGUAGAGCACUGAAUGGGCUAGGGGCCUUCACCGGUUACCGAACCCAAUCAAACUCCGAAUGCCGGAUAUUUGGAUCCCAGGAGUCAGACUGCGGGUGCUAAGGUUCGUAGUCAAGAGGGAAACAGCCCAGACCGUCGGUUAAGGUCCCAAAGACAGGCUAAGUGGAAAAGGAUGUGGAGUUGCCCGGACAACCAGGAUGUUGGCUCAGAAGCAGCCACCAUUUAAAGAGUGCGUAAUAGCUCACUGGUCAAGUGGCUCUGCGCCGAAAAUGUAACGGGGCUAAGCCUGUCACCGAAGCCACGGAUUUCAGUAAUGGAAUGGUAGGGGAGCGUUCCGUACACAGCGAAGCUAUACUGUAAGGAGUAGUGGAGAGUACGGAAGUGAGAAUGCCGGUAUAAGUAAGCGAAAAGGCAGGUGAGAAUCCUGCCCGCCGUAAACCUAAGGUUUUCUGGGGAAGGCUCGUCCGCCCAGAGUAAGCCGGGACCUAAGCCGAGGCCGACAGGCGUAGGCGAUGGAGAAUCGGUUGAGAAUCCGAUGCCACUUUCCGCCGUUUGAAGGAUGGGGUGACACAGGAGGGUAAGCUAAGCGCGCGAUUGGAAAAGCGCGUCCAAGGUGGUAGGGUAAGAGAUAGGCAAAACCGUCUCUUGAAAAGCCCGAGAGCUGAUGGGGAGCGAAAUAAAGUAGCGAAGUAGCCGAACCCAAACUGUCAAGAAAAACCUCUAACGAGGCGAGAGAGUGCCCGUACCGUAAACCGACACAGGUAGGUGGGGUGAGAAUCCUAAGGCGCGCGAGAUAACCCUCGUUAAGGAACUCGGCAAAAUGACCCCGUAACUUCGGGAGAAGGGGUACCCCGUUAGCGUGAAAACUUUUACAGAGGUAGCGCGAGGGGGUCGCAGAGAAAAGGCCCAAGCGACUGUUUAUCAAAAACACAGGUCCCUGCUAAAUCGUAAGAUGAUGUAUAGGGGCUGACGCCUGCCCGGUGCUGGAAGGUUAAGGGGAGAGCUUAGGGGCGACCCGAAGGUUUGAACCGAAGCCCCAGUAAACGGCGGCCGUAACUAUAACGGUCCUAAGGUAGCGAAAUUCCUUGUCGGGUAAGUUCCGACCCGCACGAAAGGCGUAACGAUUUGGGCACUGUCUCAACGAGGGGCUUGGUGAACUUGUAAUGCCGGUGAAGAUGCCGGCUACCUGCGACAGGACAGAAAGACCCCGUGGAGCUUUACUGUAACCUGACAUUGGGUUUUGGUAUUGCAUGUACAGGAUAGGUGGGAGACUUGGAAAUCAGGACGCCAGUCUUGGUGGAGUCAACGUUGGGAUACCACCCUUGGAGUAUUGAAGUUCUAACAUAGCGCCGUGAAGCCGG
This 2262-nucleotide ribosomal RNA is filed under the name Pelotomaculum isophthalicicum JI. RNAcentral's name for it is "Bacterial large subunit ribosomal RNA". It matches the Rfam family "Bacterial large subunit ribosomal RNA", at positions 1 to 2243 of the family's 2925-position model. The record is from Rfam by way of RNAcentral. Lineage: Bacteria; Bacillati; Bacillota; Clostridia; Eubacteriales; Desulfotomaculaceae.